UGAAGAACGCAGCAAAAUGCGAUACUUGGUGUGAAUUGCAGAAUCCCGUGAACCAUCGAGUCUUUGAACGCAAGUUGCGCCCGAAGCCAUUAGGCCGAGGGCACGCCUGCCUGGGCGUCACACGUCGUUGCCCCCCCAUCUACUCCUUCGGGAUUGCGGGGGGCGGAUGAUGGCCUCCCGUGCGCCUUGUCGCGCGGUUGGCAUAAAUGCCAAGUCCUCGGCGACGCACGCCACGACAAUCGGUGGUUGCGAAACCUCGGUUGCCCGUCGUGUGCGGUCGUCGCGCAUCGAGGGCUCGAAAAAAUUGUCGGGCUCCGGCUCGGCUUUCAACGCGACCCCAGGUCAGGCGGGGUUACCCGCUGAAUUUAAGCAUAUCAAUAAGCGGAGGA
This 389-nucleotide unclassified non-coding RNA is filed under the name soil metagenome. RNAcentral describes it as "partial contains 5.8S ribosomal RNA, internal transcribed spacer 2, and large subunit ribosomal RNA". The stretch from base 1 to 120 matches the Rfam family "5.8S ribosomal RNA", at positions 37 to 154 of the family's 154-position model. The record is from RNAcentral.